CAAGAAAUUCUUCUCAAUUCUCUCUAAUCUCAACAAAGUCAUAUCAACUUUUUACAAAUUAAACAAACAGAGCCUAAUUGCCCCAAGUAAAUGCUAAUGUUUGGACUUCUAUGAUUACUUCAUCUACGACGCAAAAGUUUGAUUUUGAAUUACAUUUAAUAAAAUAUUCUAUUUUAAGAGCUGUUUAGAUGAAAAUUCUUUAUUACUUGAUUGACUUGAAAUUUGGCAUUCAUGAUCUACAUGACUAGAAUAGUAAACCUAAUGUCCAAUAUGCAAAAAUAUGAAUCAUAGAAAAAAUUAAGG
Molecule: unclassified non-coding RNA, 303 nt
Filed under: Hevea brasiliensis (rubber tree)
Lineage: Eukaryota; Viridiplantae; Streptophyta; Magnoliopsida; Malpighiales; Euphorbiaceae
Source: RNAcentral